This 5651-nucleotide long non-coding RNA is filed under the name Populus trichocarpa (black cottonwood). RNAcentral's name for it is "long non-coding RNA (PTRI_LNC004386)". Lineage: Eukaryota; Viridiplantae; Streptophyta; Magnoliopsida; Malpighiales; Salicaceae. The record is from RNAcentral.
UAAUUAUUUCAAAGCAUUAGUUUUCACUAGCCAUGGAAAUCUUCACAAAGAAACUCACUCCUAUUGAUUUUGAUAGAGGAUUGGAGCUACCUGAUAAACCACGAAGGUCUAAUAGGGUGCCUAUCAAGAAUCCAAGAUAUGAGGGUUGAGCUGGGACACGUAUUAUGAGGAUUCAGCUGUGGGCAAUUGCUGAAUUUGUUUAAUUUGUUUUUUUUGAAUUGGUCAAUAAAGUUAGAAGGAAUAAGUCAAUUAGUGGGGGCUAUUUCUCUGUCAACUAGCCGUUCCACGUCCUUCUAAUUAGCGAAGUAGUUAAGUUUUUAUUUGUAUUUAAAUCAUUGUUUCCAGCAAGUUGAGGACAAGAAAAGUAUUACAAGGUUUAUUCUCACCUUAAGCAGAGUAUUUUCUUAUUUUCUUAAAGGCUUUGACUGGGACCUAACAUUGGUAUCAGAGCUUUCACACUAUGACUACCAAUAAAGAGAGGAUCGAGAAUUUAGAAGCAGCUAUUGGGGGACUUCAAGACAAUUUCAACAAGAUGGAACUGGGUGUUACUGACAAAUUACAACAGCUAGAGGCUGCUAUUAGCAGAAUUUCUGAAGUACUGCUUCCAAGGCAAGAGCCGAACUCUAGCAAUGUCCAAGAACGCAGUGGACAAGCCUUUGGUGCGCGAUCUCGUGACACCACAGACGGUGGCCGCUCAAUGUUCUCCUCCAAAUUGGCUAAGCUCGAAUUUCCCAAGUAUUUUGGUACUGACCCAACUGAAUGGCUCACGCGUGUUGAUCAAUUUUUUGAAUACCAGGGCACUUUGGAAGCACAAAAAGUGUCUUUGGCUUCUUUUCAUUUGGAAGGCGAAGCAAAUCAAUGGUGGCAGUGGUUACGCAAGGCUUAUCAUGAGGACAAAAAGGAGGUAUCAUGGGAGAUUUUUGUGGAAGAAUUAUGGGCUCGUUUUGGUCCCACGGAUUGCGAAGAUUUUGAUGAGUCUUUAUCAAAAAUAAGGCAAACGGGAUCCUUACGGGAAUAUCAGAAAGAAUUUGAGAGGCUGGGAAACAGAGUGCAAGGGUGGACUCCGAAGGCUUUGGUGGGUACUUUUAUGGGUGGUCUCAAGCCUGAAAUUGCUGAUGGAAUUCGGAUGUUUAAGCCAAAGUCCUUGAAAGAAGCCAUCAGUUUGGCACGGAUGAGAGAUGAGCAGAUGAUUCGUCAAGAGAAACCACAUCGGCCACUCUACAGAACCUCUGAUCAUUCUGAUCGACCAUUCAAGCACACUGACGUCUCUAAUCGUCCAUUCACCAGGUCUGUUGGCGUCUCUUCACCUUUUAAAACCCGUCUGCAUCACCUAUGAAGCGAUUAACAUGGUCUGAGAUGCAACAAAGGCGUGCUCAAGGCCUUUGCUUCAAUUGUGAUGAAAGGUUUGUAUUGGGGCACAAAUGUAAGGGGCCGCAGCUGUUAUUGCUUGAAAGCAGUUAUGAAGAUGAUGAGAUUGAUAAUGAGGAACCUGAAAUUUCACUCCAUGCUCUCACGGGGUGGUCAACAGCUAGAACCAUGAGAGUCUCGGCCAAAGUGGGACAUCAUGAAUUGAUUGUGCUUAUUGACAGUGGGUCAACCCAUAAUUUCAUCAAUGAACGGGUAGCUGAAAUAUUGCAUUUACCGGUGGUGCCCACUGAACCCUUUGCUGUGAAAGUGGCUAACGGAGUUCCGCUAAGGUGUCAGGGGAGAUUUGACAAUGUGCAUGUCUUAUUGCAAGGUAUUCCAUUUACCUUAACUCUUUAUUGGGUUGGAUAUGGUGUUGGGAGUCCAGUGGCUAGAACAGUUGGGAACGGUGGGUUGUGAUUGGAAGAGGAUGACGAUGAAGUUUUCAUGGAUGAAUCAGCAUCAUCAAUUGGAAGGAAUUGGCAAUCAACCAAUUCAGCCGAUACAGGUUCAAGCACUGUCGAAGGAGCUGAAGCAGGGCAAUUCUAUUUUUGCUGUGUGUCUACAGCCGGCUGGGGAAGAAACACCACAGAUGAACCGACCUGAUAUGCAACAAUUGUUACAAGAAUUUGCGGACAUUCAUCAAGAACCACAACAGCUCCCUCCCCAAAGAGAAAUAGACCACCACAUCACCCUCAAAGAAGGAACUGAGCCCAUCAAUGUCCGGCCAUACAGGUAUGCCUAUUUUCAAAAAGCUGAGAUUGAAAAGCAAGUUCAUGACAUGUUAAAAUUGGGGCUAAUUAGAUCUAGCACAAGUCCAUUUUCUUCUCCUGUGUUGUUAGUNNNNNNNNNNNNNNNNNNNNNNNNNNNNNNNNNNNNNNNNNNNNNNNNNNNNNNNNNNNNNNNNNNNNNNNNNNNNNNNNNNNNNNNNNNNNNNNNNNNNNNNNNNNNNNNNNNNNNNNNNNNNNNNNNNNNNNNNNNNNNNNNNNNNNNNNNNNNNNNNNNNGUCCGGGUCCAAUCCCCUUAGGAAUAUCCACCCAAAAGCUGGCGUGUGGCACACACAAAUGGGUCAUUAUGGAGUAAUUUAGGUUAUGCCCGUUUAGGUUUAAUGUAAUGACUCCUUCCCACGAUUUCAGGGCGGUCAAUGAAUUUCCAUAUUUUCGUUCCUUUACGUUCGCAAAAUUUGUAUUUAGUUUUCUUUGAUGAUAUUCCUAAAUCUAUAGCCCCCCAAUUGGACCCAUGCAUAUUGAAACAUGUUAAACCACCUUUUGAAAUAUUAAGGCAUCAUCAGUUUUUCAUCAAAUUGAAUAAGUGUGUGUUUGGGCAACAAGAGGUGAAGUAUUUGGGGUCACAUUGUGACGUCCCAAGGUGUGAAGGCCGACAAGGGCAAAAUUCAAUCUAUGCUUAAUUGGCCCUGCCCAACUAAUGUUUCUGAAUUGCGAGGGUUCUUAGGCCUUACAGGUUACUACCGGAAGUUUGUUCGCAAUUAUGGAAUCAUUGCCCGACCACUCACAAAUCUUUUGAAGAAGGGGCUAUUUCGGUGGACAGAGGAGGCAGAUGCGGCAUUCCUUGCCUUGAAGCAAGCGAUGACUUCAACUCCUACGCUUGCUAUGCCUAAUUUUAAUGAACCUUUUGUCAUUGAAACUGAUGCUUCAGGUACUGGUAUUGGGGCGGUGUUAACUCAGCACGGGAGACCCAUUGCAUUCAUGAGCCGAGCAUUGGGGGUCACUAAACUGUCAUGGUCCACAUAUGCCAAAGAAAUGCUUGCCAUUGUUCAAGCUAUUCGGUUGUGGCGUCCGUACUUGCUGGGCAGGAAAUUUUUCAUACACACUGAUCAUUGCAGCCUCAAGUACUUGAUGGAGCAGCGCAUUGUCACCCCAGAACAGCAGAAAUGGGUGUCCAAAUUAGUAGGGUAUGACUACGAAAUCACUUAUAAGCCGGGAAAGGAGAAUUCUGCCGCUGAUGCCUUAUCAAGAGUAAUUGGCAGCCCUAGCCUUAAUGCACUAUUUGUUCCUCAAGCAUCUUUGUGGCAGACUCUCAAGGAGGAAGCCAACCAGCAUCCUUACAUGAUCCGUAUUGGCAAACUUGCUACUGCCAAUCCGGGAGCUCCCUAUAAAUGGUUGAAUGGUUUGGUGUGUUACAAUAACCGAGUAGUCAUUCCCCCUAAUUCAACUCUUGUCCAGCUUCUAUUACAGGAAUUCCAUGAUUCACCUUCUGGAGGUCAUUCGGGGGUGUUACGCACAUACAAAAGAAUGGCGCAACAAUUUUAUUGGCCAUCCAUGCAUAGAGUGGUUCAGCAAUAUGUUGCUUCUUGCACGGUUUGCCAAAAGAAUAAGGCUGAUACUUUAUCUCCAGCCGGGCUUCUACAACCGCUGCCAGUUCCUUGUCAAAUCUGGGACGAUAUUACCAUGGAUUUCAUUGAAGGGUUACCACCUUCUAAUGGUAAAAGCACCAUUUUUGUGGUCGUGGACCGUUUAAGCAAAUCUGCUCAUUUUUUGGCUUUAGCACAUCCUUACACGGCCAAAAUGGUUGCUGAGAAAUUUGUGGAGGGGAUUGUCAAGCUUCAUGGCAUGCCGAAGUCCAUUAUUAGUGAUCGGGAUCCUAUCUUCAUCAGUCAUUUUUGGCGUGAAUUCUUCAAGAUGUCAGGGACAAAGCUGCACAUGAGUUCCGCUUAUCAUCCCCAAACCGACGGUCAAUCGGAGGUGGUUAACAGGUGUGUUGAGCAGUAUCUUCGAUGUUUUGUUUCUCAACAACCUCGAAAGUGGUGUUCUUUUCUUGCAUGGGCUGAAUUUUGGUACAACACCACAUUCCAUUCCUCUAUCGGGAUGUCUCCUUUUCAAGCUCUCUAUGGCCGACCACCACCGAGCAUCCCGAAUUAUCAGAUUGGGGCCUCUUCAGUGCACGAGGUGGAUCAGACUAUGAUUUCUCGUACUUCUCUUUUACGUCAGCUCAAAAUUAAUCUGCAGGCUGCAAUUAAUCGAAUGAAGCAGGGGGCUGAUUCCAAAAGACGGGACGUGAACUUCCAAGUGGGGGAUUUAGUCUUUCUCAAACUACAUCCUUAUCGCCAACAAUCUCUGUUUCGGAGACCAGCUCAGAAGUUGGCCAGCCGUUUUUAUGGUCCUUAUAAGGUUGAGGAAAAGGUGGGAAAGGUUGCUUACAAGCUUCAGCUUCCUACAGAUGCUCGAAUACACCCUGUUUUUCAUGUUUCACUUCUCAAGAAGCAAGUUGGAGAGUCCACGGUCACCAGCGCAGAACUGCCUCCCAUUACUGAUGAUGGUGAGUUUGUUUUAAAACCUAUUGCUGUGUUGGAAACCCGAUGGGUGCGGAAAGGGUCUACUUUUGUUGAGGAACUCCUUGUCCAAUGGGAACACUUGUCAAAGGAGGAUGCUACGUGGGAAAAUGCACAGGAGCUGCGUGACAAGUUUCUGUCCUUCAACCUUGAGGACAAGGUUCUAAUUCAAGACAGGGGCAAUGAUAAACCACGAAGGUCUAAUAGGGUGCCUAUCAAGAAUCCAAGAUAUGAGGGUUGAGCUGGGACACGUAUUAUGAGGAUUCAGCUGUGGGCAAUUGCUGAAUUUGUUUAAUUUGUUUUUUUUGAAUUGGUCAAUAAAGUUAGAAGGAAUAAGUCAAUUAGUGGGGGCUAUUUCUCUGUCAACUAGCCGUUCCACGUCCUUCUAAUUAGCGAAGUAGUUAAGUUUUUAUUUGUAUUUAAAUCAUUGUUUCCAGCAAGUUGAGGACAAGAAAAGUAUUACAAGGUUUAUUCUCACCUUAAGCAGAGUAUUUUCUUAUUUUCUUAAAGGCUUUGACUGGGACCUAACACUACCACCCCGUUCUAACCUAGAACCCCUGCAACAUUUUCAAGGGACCAUAGAAUUGUCCACCAUAGUUGAGUCAGCUGCAGGAACCCGUUUACCGGAACCAGUGACAAUUCACUGCUCAACCAAAAGCGGAAGCCUUGUAUUUAAAACAGGUUGGUAUGCUAUUGCUCGCGAUGUUGGCCUCAAAAGUGGAGACACUGUGACUUUCUAUCAGGAGGUUAACGGAGGAGCACAGUUCAAAUUGAAAGUGAGAAAUGUUCGUUAAAGUAAAGAAGAAAUGUGAGGGAAACAGUGUCUUCCAUACAUGCAUGAACGUCCGAGUGCACGUCCUUUUUUUUCUUCUUUGUUCUGUCUCCUGCAAUCUUCGUGUCUAGUUUCUGUCCGGUGUCAGCAGUUGAGAAAACUUUUCUCAAAAUCAUCUCCUGCAAU